ACACAUGCAGUCGAACGGCAGCACGGGAGCAAUCCUGGUGGCGAGUGGCGAACGGGUGAGUAAUACAUCGGAACGUGCCCAAUCGUGGGGGAUAACGCAGCGAAAGCUGUGCUAAUACCGCAUAAGAUCUACGGAUGAAAGCAGGGGAUCGCAAGACCUUGCGCGAAUGGAGCGGCCGAUGGCAGAUUAGGUAGUUGGUGAGGUAAAGGCUCACCAAGCCUUCGAUCUGUAGCUGGUCUGAGAGGACGACCAGCCACACUGGGACUGAGACACGGCCCAGACUCCUACGGGAGGCAGCAGUGGGGAAUUUUGGACAAUGGGCGAAAGCCUGAUCCAGCCAUGCCGCGUGCAGGAUGAAGGCCUUCGGGUUGUAAACUGCUUUUGUACGGAACGAAAAGUCUCUUUCUAAUAAAGAGGGAUCAUGACGGUACCGUAAGAAUAAGCACCGGCUAACUACGUGCCAGCAGCCGCGGUAAUACGUAGGGUGCAAGCGUUAAUCGGAAUUACUGGGCGUAAAGCGUGCGCAGGCGGUUAUGUAAGACAGUUGUGAAAUCCCCGGGCUCAACCUGGGAACUGCAUCUGUGACUGCAUAGCUNGAGUACGGUAGAGGGGGAUGGAAUUCCGCGUGUAGCAGUGAAAUGCGUAGAUAUGCGGAGGAACACCGAUGGCGAA
RNAcentral lists this ribosomal RNA (672 nucleotides) under unidentified microorganism. RNAcentral describes it as "bacterial SSU rRNA". It matches the Rfam family "Bacterial small subunit ribosomal RNA", at positions 51 to 719 of the family's 1533-position model. The record is from RNAcentral.